UUGCCUCAGCAGCAUACAUACUAAAAUUGGAAUAAUAUGGAGAAGCAUAGCAUGACCCUUACACAAGGAUGACUUGAAAAAUUUGUCAGUUUCCU
Molecule: small nuclear RNA, 95 nt
Organism: Ailuropoda melanoleuca (giant panda)
Lineage: Eukaryota; Metazoa; Chordata; Mammalia; Carnivora; Ursidae
Source: Ensembl